RNAcentral lists this ribosomal RNA (253 nucleotides) under uncultured bacterium. Its description in RNAcentral is "partial 16S ribosomal RNA". It matches the Rfam family "Bacterial small subunit ribosomal RNA", at positions 524 to 776 of the family's 1533-position model. The record is from RNAcentral.
CACGGGGGGAGCAAGCGUUGUUCGGAAUCACUGGGCGUAAAGGGCGUGUAGGCGGUUGUGUAAGUGGGAUGGGAAAUGCCUCGGCUUACCCGGGGACCUGCAUCCCAUACUGCAUGACUUGAGUACGGGAGAGGAUGAGGGAAUUCCUGGUGUAGCGGUGAAAUGCGUAGAUAUCAGGAGGAACACCGGUGGCGAAGGCGCUCAUCUGGCCCGAUACUGACGCUGAGGCGCGAAAGCUAGGGUAGCGAACGGG